This is a small nucleolar RNA of Rosa chinensis, 75 nucleotides long. Lineage: Eukaryota; Viridiplantae; Streptophyta; Magnoliopsida; Rosales; Rosaceae. The record is from RefSeq and is a predicted model, not a curated record.
UCGAUGCCUGUGAUGGUGUUAAAUAUACUUCGUAGAUUAACUUCUAUAAAAAAAACUUCAAAUCUCAGGCAAUAG